Molecule: ribosomal RNA, 253 nt
Filed under: uncultured bacterium
Lineage: Bacteria
Description: partial 16S ribosomal RNA
Rfam family: Bacterial small subunit ribosomal RNA
Source: RNAcentral
UACGUAGGUGACAAGCGUUGUCCGGAUUUACUGGGCGUAAAGAGCGCGCAGGCGGUCGAUCAAGUCGAGUGUGAAAGCCCCCGGCUCAACUGGGGAGGGUCAUUCGAUACUGCCGUGCUUGAGGACUGGAGAGGAGACUGGAAUUUACGGUGUAGCGGUGAAAUGCGUAGAUAUCGUAAGGAAGACCAGUGGCGAAGGCGGGUCUCUGGACAGUUCCUGACGCUGAGGCACGAAGGCCAGGGGAGCAAACGGG